This 433-nucleotide ribosomal RNA is filed under the name uncultured bacterium. Its description in RNAcentral is "partial 16S ribosomal RNA". It matches the Rfam family "Bacterial small subunit ribosomal RNA", at positions 29 to 507 of the family's 1533-position model. The record is from RNAcentral.
AACGAACGCUGGCGGCAUGCCUAACACAUGCAAGUCGAACGAGACCUUCGGGUCUAGUGGCGCACGGGUGCGUAACGCGUGGGAACCUGCCCUUAGGUUCGGAAUAACUCCCCGAAAGGGGUGCUAAUACCGGAUAAUGUCUUCGGACCAAAGAUUUAUCGCCCUUGGAUGGGCCCGCGUUGGAUUAGCUAGUUGGUAGGGUAAAAGCCUACCAAGGCGACGAUCCAUAGCUGGUCUGAGAGGAUGAUCAGCCACACUGGGACUGAGACACGGCCCAGACUCCUACGGGAGGCAGCAGUGGGGGAUCUUGGACAAUGGGCGAAAGCCUGAUCCAGCAAUGCCGCGUGAGUGAUGAAGUCCUUAGGGUUGUAAAGCUCUUUUACCCGGGAUGAUAAUGACAGUACCGGGAGAAUAAGCUCCGGCUAACUCCGUG